UACGUAGGGUGCAAGCGUUGUCCGGAAUUAUUGGGCGUAAAGAGCUCGUAGGCGGUUUGUCGCGUCGAAUGUGAAAACCCGGGGCUCAACCCCGGGCCUGCAUUCGAUACGGGCAGACUAGAGUUCGGUAGGGGAGUCUGGAAUUCCUGGUGUAGCGGUGAAAUGCGCAGAUAUCAGGAGGAACACCCGUGGCGAAGGCGGCUCUCUGGAACGCAACUGACGCUGAGACGCGAAAGCGUGGGGAGCAAACAGG
This 253-nucleotide ribosomal RNA is filed under the name uncultured bacterium. Its description in RNAcentral is "partial 16S ribosomal RNA". It matches the Rfam family "Bacterial small subunit ribosomal RNA", at positions 524 to 776 of the family's 1533-position model. The record is from RNAcentral.